CAAUAAAACAAUAAUAAAUUACCAACUUCAUUUAUUUUGUUGCCUAGUUUGUUUUGUAAUUAUCCAAUGAUGGUGGUUGCAAGGAUGGUCCCUGGGUUUCAUUUUGCGUGUUUGUUUCAGGAGUGGUAAACACCUGGGGCUUGAAACUUUCUCUGUGAAGGGCUGAACACAAACACAGGGCAGCAUGCCUGCACGGCUUGCACGGCUAGGGAAGGGACAGCGGGGUGCUGUGUGUGGGGCUGCUUCGGGUGAGUCGCCCCUGGUCAAGGCCGCGGCUCACGGGUGGGCAGGCCCUGGGUGCCCUGUGGGAGGGGAGGCCGAGAAGCUGGGACGUGGAGCCAGCAGGGAGAGGAGCUGUGGGCCCAGACCGGAGUGGGCCGAUUUUAUUCUACAUAUCUUCUUUGGGAUGUGCAGAAGGCCCUACAAUGCUAUCUGGAGACAUUGUGUGCCAGAAAUUGCCUUGAGAGAAUUUUCUUCUAUGCUUUAUCCUGAACUGUUUAUAUGGCUGUUCAACGCUCUUCCAGCAACUAUUAAAGGAAGCUUGUGCUCAUGCGGUGUCCUGUGAAUGUGACUUGAUGAACAUACCUACCAGAAAAUAAGCUGGGGUAAAGCAGAUGCUGCCCUGGAGAAAAUCCAGACUGUGUGAGAGUGGCAUUUUGCUUUGCUUUCCAUAGAAAAAUUGUAGUUGCUCAGAUAUAAAUUAACCUUACAAUAUUGGCCUCCUCUUGUUACACUUUGUUCAUUUGAAAUCAUAGUCAGACAUCAUGAAGGGAUUUAAUUUUUUUGCAACUCCUGGUCUAGGUUCCCUGUUAUUUAUUUAUUUAUUUCCCCCCCCCAGAAAUCAUUUUCAGCCUUCUUCACCCAAACUAGUGACAGGAAGCCAGGUGAAGCUCUCCUGCCUGCUACGUGUAUGUUCAGAGGGAUGCUUUGGCCUGACAUGAUGCGCGAUGGCAAUUCUCGUCCGGAAGCCCCGUGGCCCCAGCAGCAGUGCAGCUCGGCUGCUGGCGAGAGGUGCUGGGGCUGCAGGGCUGAGGGAGCCGCGACCCCAGGCACGCCGCCCCACGCCAGCCCACUGCCACUGGCUGCUGCCCACUGAGCCGGCGCUGGUGGGGCCUGCUGCUGAGCUGCUAUGCUGUGCUGGAGAUUGCCAAAACUGUGUUACCCACGCUCUUUAAUUACUUUGGCUUUCACAGGUAAGAUAAUUCAGGGUAGCUGAGCUGCCUCUUUGUAUCCAGCUGGGGUGGUCAUGUUCUCUUCCAUCAACUGGCACAACGCGACUCAGUUUUCUUGGUUAAAGUGGUAUUUAAAGGAUGACCUAAGCUAUUGGGCAGCAUUUUUGCUUGAGGCUGUUGAACCGUGGCCACUUUUCCAUGGUAGGUGUUGGAAGUUCAGGUGGUUUUUCAAAUCACACAAAUUGAAAGUUCUAAAAUUAACACUUUGCUGUUGUUUUCUCCUCAUCAAUAGAACUGGCCUGAAGAAAAGUGGAAAUUUUGUAAAAAUGUUCCAAACCUACGGGGUUUU
RNAcentral lists this long non-coding RNA (1521 nucleotides) under Anser cygnoides (Swan goose). RNAcentral's name for it is "lncRNA (ENSACDG00005015445.1)". The record is from RNAcentral. Lineage: Eukaryota; Metazoa; Chordata; Aves; Anseriformes; Anatidae.